This 161-nucleotide small nuclear RNA is filed under the name Helianthus annuus (common sunflower). Its description in RNAcentral is "sRNA HanXRQr2_Chr08g0321351". It matches the Rfam family "U1 spliceosomal RNA". Rfam says of the family: U1 is a small nuclear RNA (snRNA) component of the spliceosome (involved in pre-mRNA splicing). Its 5' end forms complementary base pairs with the 5' splice junction, thus defining the 5' donor site of an intron. Lineage: Eukaryota; Viridiplantae; Streptophyta; Magnoliopsida; Asterales; Asteraceae. The record is from Rfam by way of RNAcentral.
UCACUUACCUGGACGGGGUCAAUGGGUGAUCAAGAAGGUCCAUGGCCUAGGUUGGUGACCUCCAUUGCACUUCGGAGGGGUGCCCGCCUAAGGUCGGCCCAAGUGGUAGAGCCUACGUCAUAAUUUGUGGCAGUGGGGGCUUGCGUUCGCGCAGCCCCUGC